This 3063-nucleotide long non-coding RNA is filed under the name Bemisia tabaci. RNAcentral's name for it is "lncRNA ENSSSA2NGG013708". Lineage: Eukaryota; Metazoa; Arthropoda; Insecta; Hemiptera; Aleyrodidae. The record is from RNAcentral.
GGGGCCUUCGCGUGUUCUGCCUUCGGUGUCAAUGCCCUGGACAUCGCCCGCGCAGUACGCUAGUUUAUUGAUGGGUUUCACGAACACAUUCAGCUGCCUACCAGGAAUGAUCAGUCCCAUUCUAGCAGGAUACCUAGUUCAGCACAAGGAAGCGUCCGAGUGGAAAUCAGUAUUCCUGAUCACCAGCGGUGUGUACGUCUUCGGGGCUGUUUUUACGGAAUAUUCGCAGACGGGAAUAUUCAGUCGUGGGCCAGGGACGAUUCGAAGCCAGAAAAAAGCAUAUCUCAACCGAAGGACACAGAGAAACAGCAACCUGACCUAGGCGACAUUACUAAGUGUACCGCCAACCUGCCUUCGUCAUUCGAGAACUCUGCCUGUACCGUUCAGGAGUGAGAAAUGAAACAGGGAUUGAAGGGUCCUGUGCAUGAAAUUGUUAGCUCCUUUUAUGAUAUAGAGAGAGAAUUCACGGAAAAAAUUAAAUUGCCGGUUUAACGAUUCAAUUGCUAUGAAAAGUGACUGCAAUGUUUUAAUGUAGAUUUUACAACAAAAAAAAUGCUAUUUUAACCGCCCCCGUGGUUAAAGUAGCUUACAAUAGUGGUUAAGGUGAUUCGAAUGACGCCAUAUUUUGUAUCAGAACGGCAUGUGAUAUAUCGCAGCAAUUUGGUUUCAUUUUUUCAGCUACUCGUCAUUUUCUCCAAUUUGAGAUCGCAAUUCUGUUGUCAGGAGACUAAAGCACUCACUUACCAAUUUUAACAAAGAAAGUCAACGUAAUAAAGGCGUGGUUUUUUUAGAGAGAAAACAUCACAUUCGAUACUGAUAUCGAAACUGCACUCGAAUGCGAUAUUAUCUCUCUAAAAAAACCACGCCUUUAUUGCGUUGAAUUUCUUUGUUUAAAUUGGUUAGUGAGUGCUUUAGUCUCCUGACAACAGAAUUGCGAUCUCAAAUUUGGGGAAAAAAUGACGAGUAGCUGAAAAAAUGAAACCAAUUGAUGCGAUAUAUCGCAUGCCGUUCUGACACAAAAUAUGGCUUCCAUCGAAUCAGCUUAAAGUAGCAUUUUUUUGUUGUAAAAUCUACGUUGAAACGUUGCAAUCACCUUUUUUAGAAAUCGAAUUGUUAAAUCAGCAAUUUAAUUUUCUCCGUGUUAAGGUUUUGAGUCGAGUUUUAUAGCCUGUAGAAGACUGAAAACUGGAGGAUCAAAAUAAAAAUUGAGUUUCAAUAUUUUUUAGAUAAAUAAUCACGGUUAUAAUGAUCGAGAAUAAUCAAUAAUCGAUACCUCGAUUCUUUAAAAAAGUAUCAUUCAAUGUGUUCAUGCGUUGGGAUUUUCAACUACCCACCAGUGUCAAAAUGUAUCACUAGAUCUGCAAAAUUGCGCUUUAUAUUCUGCUUGAAAUUGGUUUGAACCAGCACUGAGAAGUUCAGUUGAAUACUGGGUCUAGGAUGAAAAACGCUCUCUAAAUCUUCGUAAGAACAAGGUUUGUUUGCUUCGGAUUCAAACAUGCAAGGGAGGGUACAAUCAGGCGAACUUUCUGAGAAUAAUCAUAGCCCCAGAAAUGAAAAAAAACCAAGUCUGAUCCUUGAUAAUUGCGCUGUUUGAAUCCAAUAUUUUACGGUUGGCAUCUUCACUGAUGUAUAAGAUUUUGUUAUCAAAUGAUUCAAAAUUAUCAUAACUUUCUCUUCUAUGAAAAGAAACUGUCAACUCGAUUUUAGAUGUUUCAAAGAUAAACUUCCUAUCCUCUGGAUCCUUGUUAAAUAUGGCAGGCAAAUUGUUAGUUGCAACGAAGAGGAUAUAGUGAUUCGUGUAUUCGUAGGAAUUACAAGACUGUAAGUAACUUUUGAGUAUGGAGAUAUGAAGUAAGUUGUGUCAGUAUUGCCUUGAAAGAACUUAAAAGCAUAGUUUUUAAAACUUCUCUUCUUUUUUAUCUCCAUGCCAUCUUAAUAUGAUUGCCAUAGUAAGAUUGCCAUAUUAGUUGCCAUAUACGGAUGGUGAUGGUAUUGCGAUGUACCUGUUUUAAUUCAUUUGUAAUUAUGAAAAACAAGUGACUUAGUUUGCAAAGUUGCCAAAUUUAUGGGACAGUGCAUUUUUUAGAAGUAAGAACUUAACAAAAAUUGAUAAAUAAUUGACUCUUGAUUUGAGUGUUCGCCCCCUUGUUAUGCGUAUACCUAAUCAAAAAAUAUGUUUCAAAAAUGUUGGUUAUAAUGGUUGGCAUGUGCAAUGGGCUAACUAACCAUGUUUAAUUAUUUAUCUUCCUUUGAAUUCCACACGAUUUUUUUUAUUCUUUUUAAAAUAUGUCAUUCUUUAUUGAUUUCCUACGUCCGAUGUGAAGUGCUCGAACUGAAUUAAGUUUAAUGGAAAGAAACCAAGUCACGUUAAGUCAUGGAAGAGAUAAAUAUAUAUUAAAGUUCCUUGUUCUACAACAAUAAAGAUAAAACGUGAUCUUUGAGUCCAUAUCAUAAAUUUUGAAAAUCAUUCGUCGGAUUUGAGAUCUUAACAGGGAACUCUAGUGUACUCGUUGAGCUUCAAAUCUUUGAUGAUGUACUUUCCUUGAAAAUAUGAUGCGGUUUUCUUCGUUAAAUUUAAUCCAAUUUUCUCAUCUGAAAUGCCUAAUUUUUACUCUUAAGAUGCUUACUCAGUAUGUAAAUACACAAUCAUUAUUUGUAAUUUUUAAUUUGCUCUGCAUUCAUUCUUUGUUUCGAAACGGACCAUUUUCAUCCCAGUGUUUUCUCACUUCGUGAACAAAAUUUUACUCGAUACUUACAACAUGAAGACCAAGAAAAAAGCAGGGGAAAAAAUAAAUAAAUAUACCCACCGAACAAAUUAUUGGAAUUGAUUAAGCUCUAUCACUCGCGGAGGGAAAUACUUAAAUCUAUCCAGGUAGCCUUCUCGAAUGAGCUCUGGCUGGGAUAAUGUUUUAGCCUGUGAAAUGACACGGAACCAUGGUAAGUUGCAUCAUUCAAUUUUGAAGGGGACUUGGGAAUCGUCUCACUCAUUAUUUCACAAGUCACAAUCAACACAAAACGAACAGAGAGUAGAUGCGUUCUCUCUCAAGGCCGAAUUGAGGGGAU